AACGAACGCUGGCGGCAUGCCUAACACAUGCAAGUCGAACGAGACCUUCGGGUCUAGUGGCGCACGGGUGCGUAACGCGUGGGAAUCUGCCCUUAGGUUCGGAAUAACUUCGGGAAACUGAAGCUAAUACCGGAUGAUGACGUAAGUCCAAAGAUUUAUCGCCUAAGGAUGAGCCCGCGUUGGAUUAGCUAGUUGGUGAGGUAAAGGCUCACCAAGGCGACGAUCCAUAGCUGGUCUGAGAGGAUGAUCAGCCACACUGGGACUGAGACACGGCCCAGACUCCUACGGGAGGCAGCAGUGGGAAUAUUGGACAAUGGGCGAAAGCCUGAUCCAGCAAUGCCGCGUGAGUGAUGAAGGCCGUUAGGUUGUAAAGCUCUUUACCCGGGAUGAUAAUGACAGUACCGGGAGAAUAAG
RNAcentral lists this ribosomal RNA (414 nucleotides) under uncultured bacterium. Its description in RNAcentral is "bacterial SSU rRNA". It matches the Rfam family "Bacterial small subunit ribosomal RNA", at positions 29 to 490 of the family's 1533-position model. The record is from RNAcentral.